GGAUUAGAUACCCUAUUAUAUUUAAACAAAUUGGGUAGUAUUAUUAAUAAAAACCUUUAUACUUUGGCGGCAUUUUAUCUUAUUAGAGGAAUAUGUUCAUUAAUCGAAACCACACGAUAGUUUUUACUUACUAUAAAAUUUUAUAUACCCCCGUCUAAAGAAUUUAUUUAAAAUUUUUAUUCCAAAUUAUAUUAAAAAAAGUUAGGUAAAGGUGUAGACUAUUAGUAAGAUUAAAUGUAUUACAUUAAAAAAAAUUUAAGGAUAAAACAGUUAACUGUUUAUUAAAAGAGGAUUUAUAAGUAAUUUACUUUUAAUAAAAAUUAAUGAAUAAGAAAAUAAAUGUGCACAUAUCGCCCGUCAC
Molecule: ribosomal RNA, 361 nt
Filed under: Sancus acoreensis
Lineage: Eukaryota; Metazoa; Arthropoda; Arachnida; Araneae; Tetragnathidae
Description: partial 12S ribosomal RNA
Source: RNAcentral